Molecule: ribosomal RNA, 557 nt
Filed under: uncultured bacterium
Lineage: Bacteria
Description: bacterial SSU rRNA
Rfam family: Bacterial small subunit ribosomal RNA
Source: RNAcentral
GCACGGGUGCGUAACGCGUAUAGAACCUACCUUUUACAGAGGGAUAGCCUUUAGAAAUGAAGAUUAAUACCUUAUAGUAUUGCGACUCGGCAUCGGGUUGUAAUUAAAGAUUUAUCGGUAAAAGAUGGCUAUGCGUCCUAUUAGUUAGAUGGUAAGGUAACGGCUUACCAUGACAUCGAUAGGUAGGGGUCCUGAGAGGGAGAUCCCCCACACUGGUACUGAGACACGGACCAGACUCCUACGGGAGGCAGCAGUGAGGAAUAUUGGGCAAUGGAGGCAACUCUGACCCAGCCAUGCCGCGUGCAGGAAGACGGCCCUAUGGGUUGUAAACUGCUUUUAUACAGGAAGAAACACUAGUACGUGUACUAGCUUGACGGUACUGUAAGAAUAAGGACCGGCUAACUCCGUGCCAGCAGCCGCGGUAAUACGGAGGGUCCGAGCGUUAUCCGGAAUCAUUGGGUUUAAAGGGUCCGCAGGCGGUCAAUUAAGUCAGAGGUGAAAUACCAUAGCUCAACUAUGGAACUGCCUUUGAUACUGGUUGACUUGAGUCAUAUGGA